AGUGAACGCUGGCGGUAGGCCUAACACAUGCAAGUCGAACGGCAGCACAGUAAGAGCUUGCUCUUACGGGUGGCGAGUGGCGGACGGGUGAGGAAUACAUCGGAAUCUACUUUUUCGUGGGGGAUAACGUAGGGAAACUUACGCUAAUACCGCAUACGACCUACGGGUGAAAGCAGGGGAUCUUCGGACCUUGCGCGAUUGAAUGAGCCGAUGUCGGAUUAGCUAGUUGGCGGGGUAAAGGCCCACCAAGGCGACGAUCGGUAGCUGGUCUGAGAGGAUGAUCGGCCACACUGGAACUGAGACACGGUCCAGACGACUACGGGAGGCAGCAGUGGGGAAUAUUGGACAAUGGGCGCAAGCCUGAUCCAGCCAUACCGCGUGGGUGAAGAAGGCCUUCGGGUUGUAAAGCCCUUUUGUUGGGAAAGAAAAGCAGCAGGUUAAUACCACGCUGUUCUGACGGUACCCAAAGAAUAAGCACCGGCUAACUUCGUG
This 492-nucleotide ribosomal RNA is filed under the name uncultured bacterium. RNAcentral's name for it is "partial 16S ribosomal RNA". It matches the Rfam family "Bacterial small subunit ribosomal RNA", at positions 29 to 507 of the family's 1533-position model. The record is from RNAcentral.